AGUGAACGCUGGCGGUAGGCCUAACACAUGCAAGUCGAACGGCAGCACAGUAAGAGCUUGCUCUUACGGGUGGCGAGUGGCGGACGGGUGAGGAAUACAUCGGAAUCUACUUUUUCGUGGGGGAUAACGUAGGGAAACUUACGCUAAUACCGCAUACGACCUACGGGUGAAAGCAGGGGAUCUUCGGACCUUGCGCGAUUGAAUGAGCCGAUGUCGGAUUAGCUAGUUGGCGGGGUAAAGGCCCACCAAGGCGACGAUCCGUAGCUGGUCUGAGAGGAUGAUCAGCCACACUGGAACUGAGACGCGGUCCAGACUCCUACGGGAGGCACCAGUGGGGAAUAUUGGACAAUGGGCGCAAGUCUGAUCCAGCCAUACCGCGUGGGUGAAGAAGGCCUUCGGGUUGUAAAGCCCUUUUGUUGGGAAAGAACAGCAGCAGGUUAAUACCCCGCUGUUCUGACGGUACCCAAAGAAUAAGCACCGGCUAACUUCGUG
Molecule: ribosomal RNA, 492 nt
Filed under: uncultured bacterium
Lineage: Bacteria
Description: partial 16S ribosomal RNA
Rfam family: Bacterial small subunit ribosomal RNA
Source: RNAcentral